RNAcentral lists this ribosomal RNA (235 nucleotides) under uncultured bacterium. RNAcentral describes it as "partial 16S ribosomal RNA". It matches the Rfam family "Bacterial small subunit ribosomal RNA", at positions 81 to 334 of the family's 1533-position model. The record is from RNAcentral.
CACCGAGACUUAGGUGGCAGACGGGUGAGUAACGCGUGGGAACGUACCCUUUGGUUCAGGACAACGGCUGGAAACGGUCGCUAAUACUGGAUACGUCCGUAAGGAGAAAGAUUUAUUGCCAAAGGAGCGGCCCGCGUUUGAUUAGGUAGUUGGUGGGGUAAAAGCCUACCAAGCCUUUGAUCAAUAGCUGGUUUGAGAGGAUGAUCAGCCACACUGGGACUGAGACACGGCCCAG